ACGAACGCUGGCGGCGCGCCUAACACCUGCCAGUCGCACGAGCGAGAGAGAGCUUGCUUUCUUGAGCGAGUGGCGAACGGGUGAGUAACGCGUGAGGAACCUGCCUCAAAGAGGGGGACAACAGUUGGAAACGACUGCUAAUACCGCAUAAGCCCACGGUGCCGCAUGGCACAGAGGGAAAAGGAGCAAUCCGCUUUGAGAUGGCCUCGCGUCCGAUUAGCUAGUUGGUGAGGUAACGGCCCACCAAGGCGACGAUCGGUAGCCGGACUGAGAGGUUGAACGGCCACAUUGGGACUGAGACACGGCCCAGACUCCUACGGGAAGCAGCAGUGGGGAAUAUUGCACAAUGGGGGAAACCCUGAUGCAGCGACGCCGCGUGGAGGAAGAAGGUCUUCGGAUUGUAAACUCCUGUUGUUGGGGAAGAUAAUGACGGUACCCAACAAGGAAGUGACGGCUAACUACGUG
RNAcentral lists this ribosomal RNA (465 nucleotides) under uncultured bacterium. RNAcentral describes it as "partial 16S ribosomal RNA". It matches the Rfam family "Bacterial small subunit ribosomal RNA", at positions 29 to 507 of the family's 1533-position model. The record is from RNAcentral.